Molecule: ribosomal RNA, 953 nt
Filed under: Escherichia coli
Lineage: Bacteria; Pseudomonadati; Pseudomonadota; Gammaproteobacteria; Enterobacterales; Enterobacteriaceae
Description: partial 23S ribosomal RNA
Rfam family: Bacterial large subunit ribosomal RNA
Source: RNAcentral
AAAAAUUAGCGGAUGACUUGUGGCUGGGGGUGAAAGGCCAAUCAAACCGGGAGAUAGCUGGUUCUCCCCGAAAGCUAUUUAGGUAGCGCCUCGUGAAUUCAUCUCCGGGGGUAGAGCACUGUUUCGGCAAGGGGGUCAUCCCGACUUACCAACCCGAUGCAAACUGCGAAUACCGGAGAAUGUUAUCACGGGAGACACACGGCGGGUGCUAACGUCCGUCGUGAAGAGGGAAACAACCCAGACCGCCAGCUAAGGUCCCAAAGUCAUGGUUAAGUGGGAAACGAUGUGGGAAGGCCCAGACAGCCAGGAUGUUGGCUUAGAAGCAGCCAUCAUUUAAAGAAAGCGUAAUAGCUCACUGGUCGAGUCGGCCUGCGCGGAAGAUGUAACGGGGCUAAACCAUGCACCGAAGCUGCGGCAGCGACGCUUAUGCGUUGUUGGGUAGGGGAGCGUUCUGUAAGCCUGCGAAGGUGUGCUGUGAGGCAUGCUGGAGGUAUCAGAAGUGCGAAUGCUGACAUAAGUAACGAUAAAGCGGGUGAAAAGCCCGCUCGCCGGAAGACCAAGGGUUCCUGUCCAACGUUAAUCGGGGCAGGGUGAGUCGACCCCUAAGGCGAGGCCGAAAGGCGUAGUCGAUGGGAAACAGGUUAAUAUUCCUGUACUUGGUGUUACUGCGAAGGGGGGACGGAGAAGGCUAUGUUGGCCGGGCGACGGUUGUCCCGGUUUAAGCGUGUAGGCUGGUUUUCCAGGCAAAUCCGGAAAAUCAAGGCUGAGGCGUGAUGACGAGGCACUACGGUGCUGAAGCAACAAAUGCCCUGCUUCCAGGAAAAGCCUCUAAGCAUCAGGUAACAUCAAAUCGUACCCCAAACCGACACAGGUGGUCAGGUAGAGAAUACCAAGGCGCUUGAGAGAACUCGGGUGAAGGAACUAGGCAAAAUGGUGCCGUAACUUCGGGAGAA